This 414-nucleotide ribosomal RNA is filed under the name uncultured bacterium. RNAcentral's name for it is "bacterial SSU rRNA". It matches the Rfam family "Bacterial small subunit ribosomal RNA", at positions 954 to 1366 of the family's 1533-position model. The record is from RNAcentral.
GCACAACGCGAAGAACCUUACCCACCUUUGACAUGUACGGAAUCCUUUAGAGAUAGAGGAGUGCUCGAAAGAGAGCCGUAACACAGGUGCUGCAUGGCUGUCGUCAGCUCGUGUCGUGAGAUGUUGGGUUAAGUCCCGCAACGAGCGCAACCCUUGCCAUUAGUUGCUACAUUUAGUUGAGCACUCUAAUGGGACUGCCGGUGACAAACCGGAGGAAGGUGGGGAUGACGUCAAGUCCUCAUGGCCCUUAUAGGUGGGGCUACGACACGUCAUACAAUGGCUGGUACAAAGGGUUGCCAACCCGCGAGGUGGAGCUAAUCUCACAAAACCGAUACGUAGUCCGGAUCGCAGUCUGCAACUCGACUGCGUGAAGUCGGAAUCGCUAGUAAUCGCGAAUCAGAAUGUCGCGGUGAA